Molecule: non-coding RNA, 72 nt
Organism: Lasiosphaeria hispida
Lineage: Eukaryota; Fungi; Ascomycota; Sordariomycetes; Sordariales; Lasiosphaeriaceae
Source: the annotation of a GenBank genome assembly
GGCCCUGUGGCGCAAUCGAAGCGCAUCCGACUCCAGAUCGGAAGGUUGUCUGUUCAAGUCAGGCCAGGGUCA